GAAGAAUCCAGAGAUGGAUUUGUGCCUUCGGGAACCGUGAGACAGGUGCUGCAUGGCUGUCGUCAGCUCGUGUUGUGAAAUGUUGGGUUAAGUCCCGCAACGAGCGCAACCCUUAUCCUUUGUUGCCAGCGGUCCGGCCGGGAACUCAAAGGAGACUGCCAGUGAUAAACUGGAGGAAGGUGGGGAUGACGUCAAGUCAUCAUGGCCCUUACGACCAGGGCUACACACGUGCUACAAUGGCGCAUACAAAGAGAAGCGACCUCGCGAGAGCAAGCGGACCUCAUAAAGUGCGUCGUAGUCCGGAUUGGAGUCUGCAACUCGACUCCAUGAAGUCGGAAUCGCUAGUAAUCGUGGAUCAGAAUGCCACGGUGAAUACGUUCCCGGGCCUUGUACACACCGCCCGUCACACCAUGGGAGUGGGUUGCAAAAGAAGUAGGUAGCUUAACCUUCGGGAGGGCGCUUACCACUUUGUGAUUCAUGACUGGGGUGAAGUCGUAACAAGGUAACCGUAGGGGAACCUGC
Molecule: ribosomal RNA, 522 nt
Filed under: Salmonella enterica
Lineage: Bacteria; Pseudomonadati; Pseudomonadota; Gammaproteobacteria; Enterobacterales; Enterobacteriaceae
Also listed under: 1 other name
Description: bacterial SSU rRNA
Rfam family: Bacterial small subunit ribosomal RNA
Source: RNAcentral